GGCUUCUUGGGGCCGGAUCUCAUUGACUCUAAUUCCCUCAUCAUUAGAGAGCUAAUAGUUCCGGUGGCUCCAACCUUAAUGGAUCCUCCACCACCUUUGAUAGGUUGCAGUUUCUGAACCAUGUUUUUGUCAGAUGAGCAAGUUUCUCCUAAGAAGGAAGAGGAAGAUCUUCAAUACUUGCCGCUGAAAAAAGGGAAAAAAUCUAAGCAAUCUAACAGUCCAUUAUCAU
RNAcentral lists this unclassified non-coding RNA (229 nucleotides) under Hevea brasiliensis (rubber tree). Lineage: Eukaryota; Viridiplantae; Streptophyta; Magnoliopsida; Malpighiales; Euphorbiaceae. The record is from RNAcentral.